Non-coding RNA from Salvia hispanica, 3090 nucleotides. Lineage: Eukaryota; Viridiplantae; Streptophyta; Magnoliopsida; Lamiales; Lamiaceae. The record is from RefSeq and is a predicted model, not a curated record.
CAGAAAGGAACCCCCUUAGAUAUAAGAGAUAUCAAUCCCAGGCAAUCCCAGUUGGAAAAUUGCAAACCCCUAAUUUCAAAAUUGUGUCUUGGCGGCGAGGGACGGCAAUAUACAUGGCUAAAGCAAAGCAUCAGAAGCCCAAACCUAGAAAACCAGCCAAACAGACCCAUAGCAAAAAGCGGGGAGGGAAGCAAAACGAUGUUUCUGAAUUGCGGGAGCAGCUUGAUGUUUUAAAUUUGAAGAUAAUUCAGGUGACUGCAGAUGGCAAUUGCUUUUUCAGGGCAUUGGCUGAUCAAUUGGAAGGCGAUGAGGAUCAGCAUGAGAAGUAUCGUGGCAUGGUGGUGGAAUUUAUUAAGGAAAACCGCGAAUCGUUUGAGCCUUUUGUGGAAGAUGAAAUUCCGUUUGAUGACUAUUGCCAAUCCAUGGGAGAGGAUGGUACAUGGGCAGGGAACAUGGAGCUGCAAGCAGCUUCUCUUGUCACUCACAGUAACAUAUGCAUUCAUAGAAAUAUGUCUCCUCGGUGGUACAUACAGAACUUUGGCAACCAUGACGCUCCAAUGAUUCAUCUUUCUUACCAUGAUGGAGAACAUUAUAAUAGUGUCCGCACAAAGGAUGACACAUGCUCUGGGCCAGCUAGGCCGAUUGUUAUAAAGCUAUGUCAAAAGGGUGAUGCUGAUCUUUCAGCUAAAUCUAAUCAACCAAAAACAGCUGCAAGGAAAUCCACAGGGGGAUGUGGAAUGAGUGCUAUAUGUGAAGACUCUAUCAAAAUGGCGAUGGCCGGAAGUGGAUGCAGAGAUGCUAGAAAAGUUGAACAGGCUCUACAACAAGCGGGUGGGGAUGUUGAUGCUGCAAUAGAAGUCCUUGUGGCUGAAGAAGGAUCCUCAGAUCAUAUAGCUGUUGAAGCUGAUUCUUCUCCUCUAAUCGAAACUCCUAAUGGAAAUGGUUUUCCAGAAGAACACCAAGCUGAGAAAGAUCAUCACAAGCUACUGGUUCAAGACACAACAAUUGAACUGGAAUUAUCUGGCAAUGAUGCAGAGACAAAUAACAAAAAAGAACUCCAACCUGAUGAAAAGAAAAUCCCGAGGAACAAGGCUUGCCCGUGUGGAUCAAAAAAGAAGUACAAGUCUUGCUGCGGUACAGUUUCUGGGAGAUCAUCCGCCAGAUUUCCAGUUAACCAAACAGUUGACUACGGUAAGAGCCGGAAGGACAGAAAGCAAGGUAGAAAAGGUGGCACAAUUCUUGUUCAUUCUGAUGGAGGGCCGCCCGACAUGGGUGCACUAUGCAUCUAACAAAUUUCAGGUCAUUUAUGGAAAUAAUUCAAUGAAUUGAAGAUAAAUUGUUGUAUCUUAUUCCUGCGAAGGCAAGGCAGGAAAUACCGUUCAUACAUACAGAUUUGGCAUGGUUCACUGAAUUCUAUUUCCUCAGCUACACAUAGAGCAAAUUGGACUAUUGCUCAUGCUACUCGAUUCACUUUGUUCAGCUUCUUCUUGCUGAGGCUCCACCUCCACAGAGCCCUUUCAUUGCUCAGAUUUUCAUCAAAAGUGACAUCUCUACUAACUCUCAGCUUCCCAUUUUCUUGCUCUGUUCACCAGAGCCUAAAUGCUUUUGAUCCACUCUGAUAACCAGGAAACAUACAUCUCAAUGCUCAUGCAUCAAGUUUGCCAUGUCUGACAUGGGCAUAAGCUCUACCUCCAAAGACCUUAGCUUAGAGAAAUCUGACUAUUGCAGUGGACACAACUUCCCCCAGGACCUUUUAUCUGCCCCAGAAGUCAAGAGCAUGCACCUAACACUCUCCAUGAUAGUCUUGUUCAUCCUUUCUAACACUCCAUUUUGUUGUGGAUUUCUUGGAGUUGUUCUUUGCCUUUUUAUGCCCUUGAUCUUACAAUAAUCAAUGAACUCAGCAGAUAGAUUUCCUGACCAUUGUCAGUUCUUAGGCAUUUCAGUUUUGUGCCUUUUUUCCUCUCCAUCAGGAUUUGCACCCACAAUUUCCUCGAGUAGUCAUUUAUGAUGAGGGUCAUGAAAUACCUUCCCCCAUUUAUAGUAGGUGGCUGGGAAGGCCCCCAAAUAUCACUUUGUGCAUAAUCAAGCACUGACUUAGAAGUGUGCUUUCCUUUAGGGAAUGGCAGUUUCUUGCCUUUUCCCACAAUACAUUGCUCGCAUUUUAUCAGGUCUUCAUCCUCAACUGCCCUUAUCAACCCCUUCUUGAUUCAAGAACCCCAAGUGAGAUCAAAUUUCUUUUGACCUCUGGUAUAAACAUGGGACAACAAGAUUACAGAUUCAUUUUUCAGCCUCAAUCUGAUGCUCCCUUCACCUUUAAUAGAGCAAACAUGAUUAUUUCCCAACAAGACUGAUCCAUUUGAUGGUUGGAAAUUUCGAAACCAUUCCUUGUGUGAGCUAAUAUGGAAACUACAACUAGAAUCAAUUAUCCAACACUCACUUACUUCAACAUCCAUAACAUUCAUGAUCUGAUGUGGCUCUUCAUCUUGCAUAUUAUCUGUUGACCCUGAUCAUUCCUUUCAGAUUCUUGCUUUCUCUUCCAAGAGAAGUAAUUCUUCUUGAUGUGACCUGACUUUUUACAAUAAUGGCAGCUACUUGUUUCCUUCUUAUCUUUGUCAGUUUGGUUCUUGGCUUGGCCUUGCUUCUGCUUGAACUUCUGAAUUUCUUAACAUUCAAUACCUUCGCAGAUGACACUGGUUGCGAUUGACUUAGUUUCUGAACUCUUUGGUUUGCAACACAGUCUGAACUUCAAGAAGAGUGAUAUGCUCGUCUCUACCAUACAAUAGAAGCAUCCUUCAGUUGCUCAUAGGUGGAAGUAGGGAUGCCAAUCCAACCCGAAACAUGUGGGUCGACCCGAAUAGCUUGGUAAAAUUAAUGGGUUAGGGCUGUAAUUUUGUAACCCGAUUUCAAAACGGGCUAAACGAGUUAGCCCAAAUGAGUUGGCGGGUUAAACGGGUUGGCCCGAAUGGGUUGCGGGCCGGCCCGACGAGUUGCCACUUUUAAUUAAAAUAGGUUUUAGGGCUUUUAUGUAUUUUGAAUUUCAUGUGGCACAAUCAUUAGUCUUCUUUAAUCUUCAGUUUACACUUUUCACUC